This 468-nucleotide ribosomal RNA is filed under the name uncultured bacterium. Its description in RNAcentral is "partial 16S ribosomal RNA". It matches the Rfam family "Bacterial small subunit ribosomal RNA", at positions 28 to 507 of the family's 1533-position model. The record is from RNAcentral.
GACGAACGCUGGCGGCGUGCUUAACACAUGCAAGUCGAACGGAAAGGCCCUGCUUUUGUGGGGUGCUCGAGUGGCGAACGGGUGAGUAACACGUGAGUAACCUGCCCUUGACUUUGGGAUAACUUCAGGAAACUGGGGCUAAUACCGGAUAGGAGCUCCUGCUGCAUGGUGGGGGUUGGAAAGUUUCGGCGGUUGGGGAUGGACUCGCGGCUUAUCAGCUUGUUGGUGGGGUAGUGGCUUACCAAGGCUUUGACGGGUCGCCGGCCUGAGAGGGUGACCGGCCACAAUGGGCCUGAGAUACGGCCCAGACUCCUACGGGGGGCAACAGUGGGGAAUAUUGCACAAUGGGCGGAAGCCUGAUGCAGCAACGCCGCGUGCGGGAUGACGGCCUUCGGGUUGUGAACCGCUUUCGCCUGUGACGAAGCGUGAGUGACGGUAAUGGGUGAAGAAGCACCGGCUAACUACGUG